UGGCCUUGACAUACUAAGAACUUUCCAGAGAUGGAUUGGUGCCUUCGGGAACUUAGAUACAGGUGCUGCAUGGCUGUCGUCAGCUCGUGUCGUGAGAUGUUGGGUUAAGUCCGCAACGAGCGCAACCCUUUUCCUUAUUUGCCAGCGGGUAAUGCCGGGAACUUUAAGGAUACUGCCAGUGACAAACUGGAGGAAGGCGGGGACGACGUCAAGUCAUCAUGGCCCUUACGGCCAGGGCUACACACGUGCUACAAUGGUCGGUACAAAGGGUUGCUACCUCGCGAGAGGAUGCUAAUCUCAAAAAGCCGAUCGUAGUCCGGAUCGCAGUCUGCAACUCGACUGCGUGAAGUCGGAAUCGCUAGUAAUCGCGGAUCAGAAUGCCGCGGUCGAAUACGUUCCCGGGCCUUGUACACACCGCCCGUCACACCAUGGGAGUUUGUUGCACCAGAAGUAGGUAGUCUAACCACAAGGAGGACGCUUACCACGGUGUGGCCGAUGACUGGGGUGAAGUCGUAACAAGGUAGGCGUAGAUGA
RNAcentral lists this ribosomal RNA (534 nucleotides) under uncultured bacterium. RNAcentral describes it as "bacterial SSU rRNA". It matches the Rfam family "Bacterial small subunit ribosomal RNA", at positions 976 to 1509 of the family's 1533-position model. The record is from RNAcentral.